AUUGAACGCUGGCGGCGUGCCUAAUACAUGCAAGUCGAACGGAGUGGCGCACGGGUGAGUAAUAUAUAGCUAAUCUUCCCCUUGCUGGAGGACAACAGUUAGAAAUGACUUCUAAAACUCCUUAGCAAGGGAGGAGACUAUAUCGUAUCAGCUAGUCGGUGGGGUAACGCCCUACCGAGGCUAUGACGCGUAACUGGUCUGAGAGGAUGAUCAGUCACAUUGGAACUGAGACACGGUACAAAAACCUACGGGAGGCAGCAGUAGGGAAUAGUGCGCAAGGGGGGAAACCCUAACGGAGCAUCGCAGCGUGGAGGAUGACACUUUUCGGAGAGUAAACUCCUUUUGUUAGGGAAGCGGGACCAAACGAAUAAGCACCGGCUAACUCCGUGCCAGCCGCCGCGGUAAUUC
This 408-nucleotide ribosomal RNA is filed under the name uncultured bacterium. RNAcentral's name for it is "partial 16S ribosomal RNA". It matches the Rfam family "Bacterial small subunit ribosomal RNA", at positions 30 to 526 of the family's 1533-position model. The record is from RNAcentral.